Molecule: non-coding RNA, 111 nt
Organism: Cadophora gregata
Lineage: Eukaryota; Fungi; Ascomycota; Leotiomycetes; Helotiales; Ploettnerulaceae
Source: the annotation of a RefSeq genome assembly
GCGGCUUUAGCUCACUUGGGAGAGCGCCAGACUGAAGCCCAACUUCAGGAAUCCUCGAAAUUCAAGAAUAUCGAUAUCUGGAGGCACUGUGUUCGAUCCACAGAAGCCGCA